This 859-nucleotide long non-coding RNA is filed under the name Pan troglodytes (chimpanzee). RNAcentral describes it as "long non-coding RNA NONPTRT006730". Lineage: Eukaryota; Metazoa; Chordata; Mammalia; Primates; Hominidae. The record is from RNAcentral.
UCUUGAGGAUUUGAUUUUCAACAAAUGGCUAGUAUUUUGACAAGAAGCAGAGCAACCAGGAGACAACGGAAGGAAAGAGGCCCUGGUCUCCUCGGGAACUGUGUUACUGACAGAACAAGGAACAGCUUUGGCUGGAGAUGUUUAUGCUGACUUUGGAGUAUGGAUCAGAAGAGGGUCCUGGCUUGCUGAUGGAGCUCAGGCCUAUGGAAAACAGGAUGAUCUUACAGUUAAAAACAAACAACCCUGGGUGUGGUCUCAGGGCCUGGGAGGAAAGGAUGAGUCAGCUGAAAGUGAUGGAAAUUGACGAAUCUCUCAAGAGAUGCUGCCAUUUCCUGAGCACCUGUGAGCUCAUCUUAUCCUCACAACUGAAAGUGCUUUUUCCGACGUCAGACAUGGAAAAAUAUGGCACCUAAAAGAGGAUGUCACUUUGACAACCAAUACUCCCCCAGCCCAAAACCAAUUAUUAUAAUCACUGAUGAAACUGUGAUAUGGCCUGUGAUUCACUUACAUACUCUUCUGUGUCCAUAAGAUCAGCUUCUGUCUUCCGCUUCCACCACUCCCAGUUCUCAUUCUAUUCCUAGUGUUACCUCUUGAAGAUGAUGCCUGUCCCUUAAGUAGCAGAAGCAGCUUUCUGUAUCUGGAAGAAGAGAGGCCACACUGGGCUUGAGGAGACACCAUGAUUUAUGGUCCUAGAUGAUGUCCCCUUCUCACCAUUCCCACACACAGUCACCCUUUGAGCUUGCACCAUCCUCAUAGGGGACCCUGUUGGCACUACUAUGUGGGGGAACAGCGACCCUCAAGGUUCAGGUGCAGAAGCAAGCACCCGUCAGGUGUGAUCCUGGCUCUGCCACUCACUGUG